CAAAAACAUCGCCUCUUGAUCAAUUAUAAGAGGUCAAGCCUGCCCAGUGACAUUGUUCAACGGCCGCGGUAUCCUAACCGUGCGAAGGUAGCGUAAUCACUUGUCCUUUAAAUAAGGACUAGUAUGAACGGCUUCACGAAGGCUAUACUGUCUCCUUAAUCUAAUCAAUUAAACUAAUCUCCCCGUGAAGAAGCGGGGAUUCGUCUAUAAGACGAGAAGACCCUAUGGAGCUUUAAACAUCUAAGACAUUUGAUUUUUCCCACUAAACUUCAUGCAACCUAUCAUUUUGUCUUAAGUUUUAGGUUGGGGUGACCACGGAGAAAAAUUAAACCUCCACGUAGAAAGAAAAUUCUUUUCUAAGCAAAAAGCCACAUCUUAACGCAUCAAUAUA
This 391-nucleotide ribosomal RNA is filed under the name Allobates femoralis group sp. ABGD cluster 9. RNAcentral's name for it is "partial large subunit ribosomal RNA". It matches the Rfam family "Bacterial large subunit ribosomal RNA", at positions 1808 to 2384 of the family's 2925-position model. The record is from RNAcentral. Lineage: Eukaryota; Metazoa; Chordata; Amphibia; Anura; Aromobatidae.